AUUCCAGCUCCAAUAGCGUAUAUUAAAGUUGUUGCGGUUAAAAAGCUCGUAGUUGGAUUUCUGCUGAGGAUGACCGGUCCGCCCUCCGGGUGAGUAUCUGGCUCAGCCUUGGCAUCUUCCUGAAGAACGUAACUGCACUUGACUGUGUGGUGCGGUAUUUAGGACAUUUACUUUGAGGAAAUUAGAGUGUUUCAAGCAAGCUUACGCCUUGAAUACAUUAGCAUGGAAUAAUAAGAUAGGACCUCGGUUCUAUUUUGUUGGUUUCUAGAGCUGAGGUAAUGAUUAAUAGGGACGGCCGGGGGCAUUCGUAUUACGGUGUUAGAGGUGAAAUUCUGGGAUCAUCGUAAGACGAACUACAGCGAAAGCAUUUGCCAAGAAUGUUUUCAUUA
This 389-nucleotide ribosomal RNA is filed under the name Pelagodinium sp. Its description in RNAcentral is "partial small subunit ribosomal RNA". It matches the Rfam family "Eukaryotic small subunit ribosomal RNA", at positions 582 to 975 of the family's 1831-position model. Lineage: Eukaryota; Dinophyceae; Suessiales; Suessiaceae. The record is from RNAcentral.